RNAcentral lists this ribosomal RNA (301 nucleotides) under uncultured bacterium. RNAcentral's name for it is "partial 16S ribosomal RNA". It matches the Rfam family "Bacterial small subunit ribosomal RNA", at positions 509 to 807 of the family's 1533-position model. The record is from RNAcentral.
CAGCCGCCGCGGGAAAACAGAGGGUGCAAGCGUUAAUCGGAAUUACUGGGCGUAAAGCGUGCGUAGGCGGCUUCUUAAGUCGGAUGUGAAAUCCCUGAGCUUAACUUAGGAAUUGCAUUCGAUACUGGGAAGCUAGAGUAUGGGAGAGGAUGGUAGAAUUCCAGGUGUAGCGGUGAAAUGCGUAGAGAUCUGGAGGAAUACCGAUGGCGAAGGCAGCCAUCUGGCCUAAUACUGACGCUGAGGUACGAAAGCAUGGGGAGCAAACAGGAUUAGAUACCCGAGUAGUCCCUGUCUCUUAUAC